AUUAAGAUGCGCAAAAGAACACAGACACUGGACAGAGGAACUCUGCCUAGAAGGCCAGCAUCCCGGAGUCGCCUCUUCACUGUUGAAAUUGAGACUGGUGUUUUGCAGAUCUGCCAAUCUGCUCGGUGGAGUGUUCCAGGCCUGGAGUGGCAUGCUGGAACUUCCAGAGUCUUGUAGAGCUGAAGCAGUGUGAUGUGGUCCAGGUGGCGAAUCGCAUCUCUGCAUGUCUGGCAGACAUAUCAGUGUGGAUUUCGAAUCACCACCUCAAGCUGAACCUCGGCAAGACGGAGCUGCUCUUCCUCCCGGAGAAGGACUGCCCGUUCCAUGAUCUCGCCAUCACGGUUGACAACUCCAUUGUGUCCUCCUCCCAGAGUGCUAAGAGCCUUGGCGUGACCCUGGACAACACCCUGUCGUUCUCCGCUAAAAUCAAGGCGGUGACCUGAUCCUGUAGGUUCAUGCUCUACAACAUUCGCAGAGUACGACCCUGCCU
This 490-nucleotide long non-coding RNA is filed under the name Salmo salar (Atlantic salmon). RNAcentral's name for it is "lncRNA (ENSSSAG00000101966.1)". The record is from RNAcentral. Lineage: Eukaryota; Metazoa; Chordata; Actinopteri; Salmoniformes; Salmonidae.